RNAcentral lists this ribosomal RNA (581 nucleotides) under uncultured Pseudomonadota bacterium. RNAcentral describes it as "bacterial SSU rRNA". It matches the Rfam family "Bacterial small subunit ribosomal RNA", at positions 102 to 676 of the family's 1533-position model. The record is from RNAcentral. Lineage: Bacteria; Pseudomonadati; Pseudomonadota.
ACGGGUGAGUAACGCGUGGGUAACGUACCCUAGGGUUGGGGAUAACUCAUCGAAAGGUGAGCUAAUACCGAAUGUGUUCCUGUGAGGUGAGCCUUAUAGGAAGAAAGCGGGGCAACCCGCGCCCUUGGAUCGGCCCGCGUUCCAUCAGUUUGUUGGUGGGGUAAUGGCCUACCAAGACUACGACGGAUAGCUGGUCUGAGAGGAUGAUCAGCCACACUGGGACUGAGACACGGCCCAGACUCCUACGGGAGGCAGCAGUGGGGAAUAUUGGUCAAUGGGCGAAAGCCUGAACCAGCAAUGCCGCGUGAGUGAUGAAGGCCUUCGGGUUGUAAAGCCCUGUCAGUGGGAACGAAUAAGUCGAUUAAUACUCGAUGAUGACGGUACCACAAAGGAAGCACCGGCUAACUCUGUGCCAGCAGCCGCGGUAAUACAGAGGGUGCAAGCGUUGUUCGGAAUUACUGGGCGUAAAGCGCGUGUAGGCGGUCUGAUAAGUCGGUCGUGAAAGCCCUUGGCUUAACCAAGGAACUGCGAUCGAAACUGCCGGACUAGAGUAUCGGAGGGGAUGGUGGAAUUCCCGGUGU